Molecule: ribosomal RNA, 253 nt
Filed under: uncultured bacterium
Lineage: Bacteria
Description: partial 16S ribosomal RNA
Rfam family: Bacterial small subunit ribosomal RNA
Source: RNAcentral
UACAGAGGUCUCAAGCGUUGUUCGGAUUCAUUGGGCGUAAAGGGUGCGUAGGCGGCGCGGUAAGUCGGGUGUGAAAUCUCGGGGCUUAACUCCGAAACUGCAUUCGAUACUGCCGUGCUUGAGGACUGGAGAGGAGACUGGAAUUUACGGUGUAGCAGUGAAAUGCGUAGAUAUCGUAAGGAAGACCAGUGGCGAAGGCGGGUCUCUGGACAGUUCCUGACGCUGAGGCACGAAGGCCAGGGGAGCAAACGGG